RNAcentral lists this ribosomal RNA (1484 nucleotides) under Lacticaseibacillus rhamnosus. RNAcentral's name for it is "bacterial SSU rRNA". It matches the Rfam family "Bacterial small subunit ribosomal RNA". The record is from RNAcentral. Lineage: Bacteria; Bacillati; Bacillota; Bacilli; Lactobacillales; Lactobacillaceae.
ACGCUGGCGGCGUGCCUAAUACAUGCAAGUCGAACGAGUUCUGAUUAUUGAAAGGUGCUUGCAUCUUGAUUUAAUUUUGAACGAGUGGCGGACGGGUGAGUAACACGUGGGUAACCUGCCCUUAAGUGGGGGAUAACAUUUGGAAACAGAUGCUAAUACCGCAUAAAUCCAAGAACCGCAUGGUUCUUGGCUGAAAGAUGGCGUAAGCUAUCGCUUUUGGAUGGACCCGCGGCGUAUUAGCUAGUUGGUGAGGUAACGGCUCACCAAGGCAAUGAUACGUAGCCGAACUGAGAGGUUGAUCGGCCACAUUGGGACUGAGACACGGCCCAAACUCCUACGGGAGGCAGCAGUAGGGAAUCUUCCACAAUGGACGCAAGUCUGAUGGAGCAACGCCGCGUGAGUGAAGAAGGCUUUCGGGUCGUAAAACUCUGUUGUUGGAGAAGAAUGGUCGGCAGAGUAACUGUUGUCGGCGUGACGGUAUCCAACCAGAAAGCCACGGCUAACUACGUGCCAGCAGCCGCGGUAAUACGUAGGUGGCAAGCGUUAUCCGGAUUUAUUGGGCGUAAAGCGAGCGCAGGCGGUUUUUUAAGUCUGAUGUGAAAGCCCUCGGCUUAACCGAGGAAGUGCAUCGGAAACUGGGAAACUUGAGUGCAGAAGAGGACAGUGGAACUCCAUGUGUAGCGGUGAAAUGCGUAGAUAUAUGGAAGAACACCAGUGGCGAAGGCGGCUGUCUGGUCUGUAACUGACGCUGAGGCUCGAAAGCAUGGGUAGCGAACAGGAUUAGAUACCCUGGUAGUCCAUGCCGUAAACGAUGAAUGCUAGGUGUUGGAGGGUUUCCGCCCUUCAGUGCCGCAGCUAACGCAUUAAGCAUUCCGCCUGGGGAGUACGACCGCAAGGUUGAAACUCAAAGGAAUUGACGGGGGCCCGCACAAGCGGUGGAGCAUGUGGUUUAAUUCGAAGCAACGCGAAGAACCUUACCAGGUCUUGACAUCUUUUGAUCACCUGAGAGAUCAGGUUUCCCCUUCGGGGGCAAAAUGACAGGUGGUGCAUGGUUGUCGUCAGCUCGUGUCGUGAGAUGUUGGGUUAAGUCCCGCAACGAGCGCAACCCUUAUGACUAGUUGCCAGCAUUUAGUUGGGCACUCUAGUAAGACUGCCGGUGACAAACCGGAGGAAGGUGGGGAUGACGUCAAAUCAUCAUGCCCCUUAUGACCUGGGCUACACACGUGCUACAAUGGAUGGUACAACGAGUUGCGAGACCGCGAGGUCAAGCUAAUCUCUUAAAGCCAUUCUCAGUUCGGACUGUAGGCUGCAACUCGCCUACACGAAGUCGGAAUCGCUAGUAAUCGCGGAUCAGCACGCCGCGGUGAAUACGUUCCCGGGCCUUGUACACACCGCCCGUCACACCAUGAGAGUUUGUAACACCCGAAGCCGGUGGCGUAACCCUUUUAGGGAGCGAGCCGUCUAAGGUGGGACAAAUGAUUAGG